UACGGGGGGGGCAAGCGUUGUUCGGAAUUACUGGGCGUAAAGGGCUCGUAGGCGGCCAACUAAGUCGGAUGUGAAAUCCCCAGGCUUAACCUGGGAACUGCGUCUGAUACUGGAUGGCUUGAGUUUGGGAGAGGGACGCGGAAUUCCAGGUGUAGCGGUGAAAUGCGUAGAUAUCUGGAGGAACACCGGUGGCGAAGGCGGCGUCCUGGACCAACACUGACACUGAGGAGCGAAAGCCAGGGGAGCAAACGGG
Molecule: ribosomal RNA, 253 nt
Filed under: uncultured bacterium
Lineage: Bacteria
Description: partial 16S ribosomal RNA
Rfam family: Bacterial small subunit ribosomal RNA
Source: RNAcentral